GCCCCCGUAGCUCAAUGGACAGAGCAAUUGCCUUCUAAGCAAAAGGUUGUCAGUUCGAUUCUGGCCGGGGGCG
RNAcentral lists this transfer RNA (73 nucleotides) under Chloroflexota bacterium. RNAcentral describes it as "Chloroflexi bacterium (sediment metagenome) tRNA-Arg". It matches the Rfam family "tRNA". Rfam says of the family: Transfer RNA (tRNA) molecules are approximately 80 nucleotides in length. Their secondary structure includes four short double-helical elements and three loops (D, anti-codon, and T loops). Further hydrogen bonds mediate the characteristic L-shaped molecular structure. tRNAs have two regions of fundamental functional importance: the anti-codon, which is responsible for specific mRNA codon recognition, and the 3' end, to which the tRNAs corresponding amino acid is attached (by aminoacyl-tRNA synthetases). tRNAs cope with the degeneracy of the genetic code in two manners: having more than one tRNA (with a specific anti-codon) for a particular amino acid; and 'wobble' base-pairing, i.e. permitting non-standard base-pairing at the 3rd anti-codon position. Lineage: Bacteria; Bacillati; Chloroflexota. The record is from RNAcentral.